GGGGCUAGAGCUCAGUGGGUACAGUGUUUGCUUUGUGUGCACGAGGUACUGGGUUCAAUCCCCAGUACCUUCC
RNAcentral lists this transfer RNA (73 nucleotides) under Marmota marmota marmota (Alpine marmot). It matches the Rfam family "tRNA". From Rfam's summary of the family: Transfer RNA (tRNA) molecules are approximately 80 nucleotides in length. Their secondary structure includes four short double-helical elements and three loops (D, anti-codon, and T loops). Lineage: Eukaryota; Metazoa; Chordata; Mammalia; Rodentia; Sciuridae. The record is from Rfam by way of RNAcentral. RNAcentral also lists the same sequence under 1 other name.